This 478-nucleotide ribosomal RNA is filed under the name uncultured bacterium. RNAcentral describes it as "partial 16S ribosomal RNA". It matches the Rfam family "Bacterial small subunit ribosomal RNA", at positions 28 to 523 of the family's 1533-position model. The record is from RNAcentral.
GACGAACGCUGGCGGCGUGCUUAACACAUGCAAGUCGAACGGUAAGGCCCUUCGGGGUACACGAGUGGCGAACGGGUGAGUAACACGUGGGUGAUCUGCCCUGCACUUCGGGAUAAGCCUGGGAAACUGGGUCUAAUACCGGAUAGGACUCCGGACUGCAUGGUCUGGGGUGGAAAGCUUUUGCGGUGUGGGAUGGGCCCGCGGCCUAUCAGCUUGUUGGUGGGGUGAUGGCCUACCAAGGCGACGACGGGUAGCCGGCCUGAGAGGGUGACCGGCCACACUGGGACUGAGAUACGGCCCAGACUCCUACGGGAGGCAGCAGUGGGGAAUAUUGCACAAUGGGCGCAAGCCUGAUGCAGCGACGCCGCGUGAGGGAUGACGGCCUUCGGGUUGUAAACCUCUUUCAGCAUCGACGAAGCGAAAGUGACGGUAGGUGCAGAAGAAGGACCGGCCAACUACGUGCCAGCAGCCGCCGCCG